Molecule: ribosomal RNA, 468 nt
Filed under: uncultured bacterium
Lineage: Bacteria
Description: partial 16S ribosomal RNA
Rfam family: Bacterial small subunit ribosomal RNA
Source: RNAcentral
GAUGAACGCUGGCGGCGUGCUUAACACAUGCAAGUCGAACGGUGAACACGGAGCUUGCUCUGUGGGAUCAGUGGCGAACGGGUGAGUAACACGUGGGCAACCUGCCCCUGACUCUGGGAUAAGCGCUGGAAACGGCGUCUAAUACUGGAUAUGUGACGUGAUCGCAUGGUCUGCGUCUGGAAAGAAUUUCGGUUGGGGAUGGGCUCGCGGCCUAUCAGCUUGUUGGUGAGGUAAUGGCUCACCAAGGCGUCGACGGGUAGCCGGCCUGAGAGGGUGACCGGCCACGCUGGGACUGAGACACGGCCCAGACUCCUACGGGAGGCAGCGGUGGGGAAUAUUGCACAAUGGGCGCAAGCCUAAUGCAGCAACGCCGCGUGGGGGAUGACGGCAUUCGGGUUGUAAACCUCUUUUAGCAGGGAAGAAGCGAAAGUGACGGUACCUGCAGAAGAAGCGCCGGCUAACUACGUG